UCUACGGGCCGCAGCAGUGGGGAAUAUUGGGCAAUGGGGGAAACCCUGACCCAGCAACGCCGCGUGAGGGAAGAAGGUUUUCGGAUCGUAAACCUCUGUCCUUGGUGAAGAGGAAGAGACGGUAGCCAAGGAGGAAGCCCCGGCUAACUACGUGCCAGCAGCCGCGGUAAUA
This 172-nucleotide ribosomal RNA is filed under the name uncultured bacterium. RNAcentral's name for it is "partial 16S ribosomal RNA". It matches the Rfam family "Bacterial small subunit ribosomal RNA", at positions 338 to 525 of the family's 1533-position model. The record is from RNAcentral.